RNAcentral lists this ribosomal RNA (441 nucleotides) under Triticum aestivum (bread wheat). RNAcentral describes it as "partial small subunit ribosomal RNA". Lineage: Eukaryota; Viridiplantae; Streptophyta; Magnoliopsida; Poales; Poaceae. The record is from RNAcentral.
AUGGCGAAAUGCUUCCUGGUGCUCGUCUUCAUGGCAUUUCUCCUGCCGGCGGCCUACGCGAUGUGCCACCCUGACGACCUCCAAGCGCCGCGGGGCUUNNNNNNUGAGGUACCCAAGGGUUUGACACUACUCAAGGGCCUCACCGUUGUCGAUCGUUCACUAGGUAUUGCUUUCACUAACUUGCUAUUUGUCAGAUCUGGGAGUGGCAAUAUUGUAUCUGGGAACGGCAACACUGUCGUAUCUGGGGACAACAAUAAUGUUUCUGGGAGCAACAACACAGUCACAUCUGGGAGCAGCAAUGUCAUAGUUGACAGCAACCAUGUCGUUACUGGGAGCAACAAUACUGUAUCGGGCAAUAACAAUAGGGUAACUGGGAACAAUAAUGUUGUAUCAGGGAGCAACCAAGUCGUGUCCGGGGACAACAAAGUCGUAACUGGCUAA